This 429-nucleotide ribosomal RNA is filed under the name Bacillota bacterium. Its description in RNAcentral is "Firmicutes bacterium partial 16S ribosomal RNA". It matches the Rfam family "Bacterial small subunit ribosomal RNA", at positions 355 to 776 of the family's 1533-position model. The record is from RNAcentral. Lineage: Bacteria; Bacillati; Bacillota.
UAGGGAAUCUUCGGCAAUGGACGGAAGUCUGACCGAGCAACGCCGCGUGAGUGAAGAAGGUUUUCGGAUCGUAAAGCUCUGUUGUUAGAGAAGAACGUUGGUAGGAGUGGAAAAUCUACCAAGUGACGGUAACUAACCAGAAAGGGACGGCUAACUACGUGCCAGCAGCCGCGGUAAUACGUAGGUCCCGAGCGUUGUCCGGAUUUAUUGGGCGUAAAGCGAGCGCAGGCGGUUCUUUAAGUCUGAAGUUAAAGGCAGUGGCUUAACCAUUUUACGCUUUGGAAACUGGAGGACUUGAGUGCAGAAGGGGAGAGUGGAAUUCCAUGUGUAGCGGUGAAAUGCGUAGAUAUAUGGAGGAACACCGGUGGCGAAAGCGGCUCUCUGGUCUGUAACUGACGCUGAGGCUCGAAAGCGUGGGGAGCGAACAGG